AAUUCAACCUCCCACCCGUGUUUAUUGUACCUUGUUGCUUCGGCGGGCCCGCCUCACGGCCGCCGGGGGGCAUCUGCCCCCGGGCCCGCGCCCGCCGAAGACACCUUGAACUCUGUAUGAAAAUUGCAGUCUGAGUCUAAAUAUAAAUUAUUUAAAACUUUCAACAACGGAUCUCUUGGUUCCGGCAUCGAUGAAGAACGCAGCGAAAUGCGAUACGUAAUGUGAAUUGCAGAAUUCAGUGAAUCAUCGAGUCUUUGAACGCACAUUGCGCCCCCUGGUAUUCCGGGGGGCAUGCCUGUCCGAGCGUCAUUGCUGCCCUCAAGCCCGGCUUGUGUGUUGGGUCUCGUCCCCCUUCCCGGGGGGACGGGCCCGAAAGGCAGCGGCGGCACCGCGUCCGGUCCUCGAGCGUAUGGGGCUUUGUCACCCGCUCUGUAGGCCCGGCCGG
Molecule: ribosomal RNA, 445 nt
Filed under: Penicillium canescens
Lineage: Eukaryota; Fungi; Ascomycota; Eurotiomycetes; Eurotiales; Aspergillaceae
Description: eukaryotic LSU rRNA
Rfam family: 5.8S ribosomal RNA (bases 156-309)
Source: RNAcentral